AUCGCGGCAGAAAAGAAAGGCGACAUUUCCGCCAGUCCAGCAGCGCCGUCUCGCGGGAUAGGCCCCUCGCUGCUUGACCAUUGGCCAGGGGCCCCUAUAAGGAGGGGUCCCUGCGCCACUUACCAGUCUCACAACACCGCUCCCACGCUCACAGCUUGAAUACACCCAGACGACACUCUACAUGGCGUCCGUGGUUCAUUGUGCGUCCUGCUACGGCCGCUGCAGUGUGCAGCCCUUGCAGCUGUUCGGCCGGGGGGGCGGCUUGGACUACAUGUCCAUGCUUACCUACCGGGGCCCUCGGAGUGCCCCGCGGCCCGGCCUGGCCUACAAAGGCCCCCGGAUGACCCUGCGGCAGAUCUGUCGCACGCUGAAGAACAUGAAGCAGCUCAGGAAGAAGGAGGCGGCCUUGGCAGCGGCCAGGAAGCUGGCCCCCCUGCCCCCUCCUGAGACGCAGACGGAACAACGCCAUCAAACGGGCUAGCUGACCCAGGGACCCCCCCCCACCCCUCCCUCCAGGAGGAGCUCUGACCAGGUCUCUGGAGGAAGGGGUUCAGUCAUCUGUCGCUCGUGUCUGAGCUCAUGCUGCCUGCUGGAACGUUGACUUGUUGUCAUUGUUUCAUAAAUGUGGAGGAGGAGUCAGGGGUUAAUUGGAUUCAUUAUUUCAUUGAGAUUACAAUUUUUGUUGUUAAGGCCCAAUCCCAUUUCUACCCCUUAACCCUUACGUAAGGGGUAGAAAUGGGAUUGGGCCUAACUCAUCUAAAUGAAGAGUAGGAUCCCUUAUGAUUUAGUUGUGGAUUGUUUUGGUUGAAGUGUUUUCCACUUAUUGACACCAGUUAUAAAUGGUAUUUUUUUCACAAUUAUAGCUUGGAAAUCUUCACUGAAACUCUUACACUUCAGUUAUUAUAUAUUUAAUUAUGGAUUACUAUUCAUAUAUUUAUAAAAAAAAGAAAAAAGUAUUUACUCACUGAUCACUGAACUCAUGAAUCAUAUUCCUCAAGUCUUGGUUUAUUCUGUUCUUUGUAUAUUUGUUGUGGAAUAAAGUAUAUCAGCAAGAAGGACUUAAGAUUGCUAAUCAGUUUGUUUGCGUGCGUGUGCGUGUGUGUGCGUGUGUGUGCGUGCCUUACUCAAAUGAAGAAUGAGAAUUUACC
Long non-coding RNA from Gadus morhua (Atlantic cod), 1148 nucleotides. NCBI's taxonomy places the organism in Eukaryota, Metazoa, Chordata, Actinopteri, Gadiformes, Gadidae. The record is from Ensembl.